CAAUAGCGUAUAUUUAAGUUGUUGCAGUUAAAAAGCUCGUAGUUGGAUUUCGGAUGGGAUCUGCCGGUCCGUCUUUGAGAUGUGUACUGGUAGGUCCUAUCUUGUUGUCGGGGACCAGCUCCUGGGCUUCACUGUCCGGGACUGGGAGCCGACGAAGUUACUUUGAGUAAAUUAGAGUGUUCAAAGCAAGCUUACGCUCUGAAUAUAAUAGCAUGGGAUAACACGACAGGACUCUGGCCUAUCGUGUUGGUCUAUAGGACCAGAGUAAUGAUUAAGAGGGACAGUCGGGGGCAUUCGUAUUCCGUUGUCAGAGGUGAAAUUCUUGGAUUUACGGAAGACGAACAUCUGCGAAAGCAUUUGCCAAGGAUGUUUUCAUUGA
This 379-nucleotide ribosomal RNA is filed under the name uncultured eukaryote. RNAcentral's name for it is "partial 18S ribosomal RNA". It matches the Rfam family "Eukaryotic small subunit ribosomal RNA", at positions 592 to 976 of the family's 1831-position model. The record is from RNAcentral.